Molecule: long non-coding RNA, 217 nt
Filed under: Nicotiana benthamiana
Lineage: Eukaryota; Viridiplantae; Streptophyta; Magnoliopsida; Solanales; Solanaceae
Description: long non-coding RNA (NBEN_LNC040579)
Source: RNAcentral
AAGUCUGGAGGUCUAGAAUCAGGGUUGUAGGAUAGGGGCUCCUAGAGUUUUUCGUACGCCUCCUCCGGGGUUGGGCGUGGGUCAGCAGGGUUACCCAUAGAUGACUUGUAUUUUAGCUUAGCUUAUGUCCCCCCUAUGGCUGUUAGUUAUGGUAGUUACUGUAUGAUAUUAUUGCAUGCAAUUGUAUUUAUGUUUCUUUUGUUUAGAUAAUUAUUUA